GGCAUUGGCCAAGCUCUCCUCAUGGUGAUGUACAGAACAAUCAAGUCACAUUUAUUCCUGACAGGACUGAACCAGUAGGCAGAAAGAAGCUUCAUCUCUGUUCGUUUGAGGAUGUUAUCCCAGGGAAGGCAGUUCUAGAUUGCAGAGAAAUUUGCUUUGGGAGAUUUUGAAUACGUGAAUGUGUGAACGGAUGACAAAAGCCCCUCACAGAUUAAUCAACGCUAGAGGUCAUGCCAGAAGUUAUUGGAAAGGCAAGACCCUUCAACUACACCGCUCUUUGUGCAACUCCACUGUUGGUAACCAAGAAUGCACACGAGGUGAAACUGUGCCUGUCCUUCCAUGUGACUUCUGACAAACUGAGACAAGUGAAGGGAGAUGUGAAACUUUAAGGAAAGGGGAAAAUGGGAGUCAGUUCAAAUGCUGAAUGAGUGGGUCAUGUUGCCUCAUUCUUGCUCAUUUGUUACCAUCUGAUGACUCAGCAUCACAAGGGGAAUAGUGACUCUGCAAUUCUUGUAAACCCUGUGUAAUAAUUCCUUCCACAUAUCAAAAGGUGGUAGUGGGGGGUUCUUCUAAAACAGCUAAAACUAGUUUGACAUGUAACUUUACAUCCUGCUUACAUGUUGUGCACAGUUUGUGGUUUUCUCCUACAAUGUGGAAUGCUAGAAUAUACCAAAAUGUGGACAUCUUUUUUUCUGGAUGCAAAAACAAAAAAAACAUGCAAAAAUUAAUUCUUUA
This is a long non-coding RNA of Falco peregrinus (peregrine falcon), 735 nucleotides long. RefSeq lists it as uncharacterized. Lineage: Eukaryota; Metazoa; Chordata; Aves; Falconiformes; Falconidae. The record is from RefSeq and is a predicted model, not a curated record. The transcript is spliced from 3 exons.